CCUACGGGGGAAAAAUUUAUUGCUAUUAGAUGAGCCUACAUUAGAUUAGCUAGUUGGUGGAGUAAUAGCCUACCAAGGCAAUGAUCUAUAGCUGAUCUGAGAGGAUGAUCAGCCACACUGGAACUGAGAUACGGUCCAGACUCCUACGGGAGGCAGCAGUGGGGAAUAUUGGACAAUGGGCGAAAGCCUGAUCCAGCCAUGCCGCAUGAGUGAAGAAGGCCUUUGGGUUGUAAAGCUCUUUUAGUGAGGAAGAUAAUGACGGUACUCACAGAAGAAGUCCUGGCUAACUCCGUGCCAGCAGCCGCGGUAAUACGGAGAGGGCUAGCGUUAUUCGGAAUUAUUGGGCGUAAAGGGCGCGUAGGCGGAUUAGUAAGUUAAAAGUGAAAUCCCAAGGCUCAACCUUGGAAUUGCUUUUAAAACUGCUAAUCUAGAGAUUGAAAGAGGAUAGAGGAAUUCCUAGUGUAGAGGUGAAAUUCGUAAAUAUUAGGAGGAACACCAGUGGCAAAGGCGUCUAUCUGGUUCAAAUCUGACGCUGAGGCGCGAAGGCGUGGGGAGCAAACAGGAUUAGAUACCCUGGUAGUCCACGCUGUAAACGAUGAAUGUUAAAUAUGGGAAGUUUUACUUUCUGUAUUACAGCUAACGCGUUAAACAUUCCGCCUGGGGACUACGGUCGCAAGAUUAAAACUCAAAGGAAUUGACGGGGACCCGCACAAGCGGUGGAGCUUGUGGUUUAAUUCGAUGCAACGCGAAAAACCUUACCACUCCUUGACAUGGAAAUUAUACCUAUUCGAAGGGAUAGG
This 800-nucleotide ribosomal RNA is filed under the name uncultured bacterium. RNAcentral describes it as "bacterial SSU rRNA". It matches the Rfam family "Bacterial small subunit ribosomal RNA", at positions 193 to 1013 of the family's 1533-position model. The record is from RNAcentral.